RNAcentral lists this ribosomal RNA (454 nucleotides) under Pseudomalus pusillus pusillus. Its description in RNAcentral is "partial 16S ribosomal RNA". Lineage: Eukaryota; Metazoa; Arthropoda; Insecta; Hymenoptera; Chrysididae. The record is from RNAcentral.
CUGCUCAAUGAUUUAAUUAAAUAGCCGCAGUAUUUUGACUGUGCAAAGGUAGCAUAAUCAAUAGUUUUUUAAUUGAAGACUGGAAUGAAGGAGGGGAUGAAAUUUAUACUGUCUCUAUAAUAAUAAUUGAAUUUUAAUUUAAGUUAAAAUUCUUAAAUUUAUUUAAGGGACGAGAAGACCCUAUAGAAUUUUAUAAUUUUAAAUAAAAUUUUAAAUAAAUUUAAAUUAAAUUUUUAUUUAAAAUUAUUUAAUUGGGAGGAUUAUUAAAAUUAAAAAACUUUAAUUUUAAAUUUAUUUUAAUUAGAAAAUUUAAUGAGUUAUAAUUUAAAUAAUGAAAGAAAAAUUACCUUAGGGAUAACAGCGUUAUAUUUUUGGAGAGAUCUUAUUAAUAAAAGUGUUUGCGACCUCGAUGUUGAAUUAAAAUAAAAUUUGAAUGUAGAAGUUCAAUAUUUAA